AAAUGGAUUAGUUGUGUAAUGAGCAAGCAAGUUUGAUGUGGUCGACGCGUCAGUUCAAACAGACGGACAUCACGCUGACAUCGCUUCCCGCGGAAGUGCUAAUAAGGCAUGUGCUAUUUCCAAAAGGGCUUUUUUCAGUCGGAGCGACCUUGUUGGAUGCCAUGUAAACGUCUAUUCAACAGGCCUGCAUUUGGGGUAUUUCCUGGAGAAGAUCGGCCCAGAAGACUUUAAAACAUUCUCAAUGAGUUUGCCUUUUGUCUUCUGAUCCAUGUAUUUCAAAUUUUGAGCACCAUCAACUGGAACUAGGAUGAACAUUUCCGAAGCACAAGAAGCGUGCAGAAGUGAUGAUGUAGACAUUAUUCAACUAUUUACUCCUGAAUUUUAUUUUUUGAUUAU
This is a long non-coding RNA of Zophobas morio, 396 nucleotides long. RefSeq lists it as uncharacterized. The record is from RefSeq and is a predicted model, not a curated record. NCBI's taxonomy places the organism in Eukaryota, Metazoa, Arthropoda, Insecta, Coleoptera, Tenebrionidae. The transcript is spliced from 3 exons.